CAAAUGCUUCACCCAUUAACAGCAUGACACCACCUAAGUUGUUUUUAUCAAUGUGAUCUCCUCCAUCUAAAAGCUUGUCCCAUUCUUGUGCUCCCGCAAGAAGUUGAGCGGUGAUAUGCUUGAAGAACACACUGAAAUUCACUGGUAAAGAGUGGAACAAGACCAAGGAGGCAAAAAAGGAAUAAAUAGCAAAGAGAAGGAAACUACAGUACGUAUGCAACCAUGAAGCUUCAAAGAAAAUUGUAAUUGGCACAAGUAGUGUUCCCUGCCAGAUCAGAAGGAAGAGGAAUUGAAAACGAAAUUAAAUUGUAAAGUGAACAACCGCUUACAACCCACAAGCGUGGGGAGGACAG
RNAcentral lists this unclassified non-coding RNA (353 nucleotides) under Hevea brasiliensis (rubber tree). The record is from RNAcentral. Lineage: Eukaryota; Viridiplantae; Streptophyta; Magnoliopsida; Malpighiales; Euphorbiaceae.